UCUUAGCCCUGAUGGGAGCGACAUCCUUUUGUGGCGGUGUUCGCCAUAAAAGAUAUAGCGGACAGCAGGAAACAGC
This 76-nucleotide small RNA is filed under the name Flavobacterium chilense. RNAcentral describes it as "Flavo-1 RNA". It matches the Rfam family "Flavo-1 RNA". The record is from RNAcentral. Lineage: Bacteria; Pseudomonadati; Bacteroidota; Flavobacteriia; Flavobacteriales; Flavobacteriaceae.